RNAcentral lists this ribosomal RNA (618 nucleotides) under uncultured Actinomycetes bacterium. RNAcentral describes it as "bacterial SSU rRNA". It matches the Rfam family "Bacterial small subunit ribosomal RNA", at positions 556 to 1174 of the family's 1533-position model. Lineage: Bacteria; Bacillati; Actinomycetota; Actinomycetes. The record is from RNAcentral.
GGGCGUAAAGAGCUCGUAGGCGGUUUGUCGCGUCUGCUGUGAAAUUUCGAGGCUCAACCUCGAACUUGCAGUGGGUACGGGCAGGCUAGAGUGCGGUAGGGGAGAUGGGAAUUCCUGGUGUAGCGGUGGAAUGCGCAGAUAUCAGGAGGAACACCAAUGGCGAAGGCACAUCUCUGGGCCGUAACUGACGCUGAGGAGCGAAAGCGUGGGGAGCGAACAGGAUUAGAUACCCUGGUAGUCCACGCCGUAAACGGUGGGUGCUAGCUGUGGGCCACAUUCCACGUGGUCCGUGACGAAGUUAACACAUUAAGCACCCCGCCUGGGGAGUACGGCCGCAAGGCUAAAACUCAAAGGAAUUGACGGGGGCCCGCACAAGCGGCGGAGCAUGCGGAUUAAUUCGAUGCAACGCGAAGAACCUUACCAAGGCUUGACAUAUAGAGGAAAAGUGCAGAAAUGUACUCCCCGCAAGGUCUCUAUACAGGUGGUGCAUGGUUGUCGUCAGCUCGUGUCGUGAGAUGUUGGGUUAAGUCCCGCAACGAGCGCAACCCUCGUCCUAUGUUGCCAGCACGUAAUGGUGGGAACUCAUGGGAUACUGCCGGGGUCAACUCGGAGGAAGGU